AUGCACGCUGGCGGCGUGCCUAAUACCUGCAAGUCGAGCGAACGGACGAGAAGCUUGCUUCUCUGAUGUUAGCGGCGGACGGGUGAGUAACACGUGGAUAACCUACCUAUAAGACUGGGAUAACUUCGGGAAACCGGAGCUAAUACCGGAUAAUAUUUUGAACCGCAUGGUUCAAAAGUGAAAGACGGUCUUGCUGUCACUUAUAGAUGGAUCCGCGCUGCAUUAGCUAGUUGGUAAGGUAACGGCUUACCAAGGCAACGAUGCAUAGCCGACCUGAGAGGGUGAUCGGCCACACUGGAACUGAGACACGGUCCAGACUCCUACGGGAGGCAGCAGUAGGGAAUCUUCCGCAAUGGGCGAAAUCCUGACGGAGCAACGCCGCGUGAGUGAUGAAGGUCUUCGGAUCGUAAAACUCUGUUAUUAGGGAAGAACAUAUGUGUAAGUAACUGUGCACAUCUUGACGGUACCUAAUCAGAAAGCCACGGCUAACUACGUG
RNAcentral lists this ribosomal RNA (496 nucleotides) under uncultured bacterium. Its description in RNAcentral is "partial 16S ribosomal RNA". It matches the Rfam family "Bacterial small subunit ribosomal RNA", at positions 29 to 507 of the family's 1533-position model. The record is from RNAcentral.